RNAcentral lists this ribosomal RNA (794 nucleotides) under uncultured archaeon. RNAcentral's name for it is "bacterial SSU rRNA". It matches the Rfam family "Archaeal small subunit ribosomal RNA", at positions 85 to 879 of the family's 1478-position model. The record is from RNAcentral.
ACUGCUCAGUAACACGUGGACAACCUACCCUUAGGUCUGGUAUAACCCCGGGAAACUGGGAAUAAUACCGGAUAUAUCGCGAAGGCUGGAAUGCGUCGCGAUAGAAAGCUCCGGCGCCUAAGGAUGGGUCUGCGGCCUAUCAGGGUAGUAGUGGGUGUAAAGUACCUACUAGCCUACGACGGGUACGGGUUGUGAGAGCAAGAGCCCGGAGAUGGAUUCUGAGACACGAAUCCAGGCCCUACGGGGUGCAGCAGGCGCGAAAACUUUACAAUGCUGGAAACAGCGAUAGGGGGACCUCGAGUGCCACCGUACAACGGUGGCUGUCGUUGUGUCUAAAAAACACGAUAUAGCAAGGGCCGGGCAAGACCGGUGCCAGCCGCCGCGGUAACACCGGCGGCUCGAGUGGUAACCGCUAUUAUUGGGUUUAAAGGGUCUGUAGCCGGCCGGAUAAGUCUCUUGGGAAAUCUGGCAGCUUAACUGUCAGGCUUUCAGGAGAUACUGUUCGGCUCGAGACCGGGAGAGGUGAGAGGUACUUCAGGGGUAGGGGUGAAAUCUUGUAAUCCUUGAAGGACCACCAGUGGCGAAGGCGUCUCACCAGAACGGAUCUGACGGCAAGGGACGAAAGCUAGGGGCACGAACCGGAUUAGAUACCCGGGUAGUCCUAGCCGUAAACAAUACUCGCUAGGUGUCGGCCACGGUGCGACCGUGGUCGGUGCCGUAGGGAAACCGUGAAGCGAGCCACCUGGGAAGUACGGCCGCAAGGCUGAAACUUAAAGGAAUUGGCGGGGGAGCAC